UACGGAGGGUGCAAGCGUUGCUCGGAAUCACUGGGCGUAAAGCGAACGCAGGCGGCACGUUAAGUCGGGUGUGAAAGCCCUGGGCUCAACCCAGGAAGUGCACUCGAAACUGGCGCGCUAGAGUACGGGAGAGGGGAGUGGAAUUCCUGGUGUAGAGGUGAAAUUCGUAGAUAUCAGGAGGAACAUCGGUGGCGAAAGCGGCUCCCUGGUCCGUAACUGACGCUCAUGUUCGAGAGCGUGGGUAGCAAACAGG
RNAcentral lists this ribosomal RNA (253 nucleotides) under uncultured bacterium. Its description in RNAcentral is "partial 16S ribosomal RNA". It matches the Rfam family "Bacterial small subunit ribosomal RNA", at positions 524 to 776 of the family's 1533-position model. The record is from RNAcentral.